Phyllopteryx taeniolatus (common seadragon) is the source of this 5344-nucleotide long non-coding RNA. RefSeq lists it as uncharacterized. NCBI's taxonomy places the organism in Eukaryota, Metazoa, Chordata, Actinopteri, Syngnathiformes, Syngnathidae. The transcript has 4 exons. The record is from RefSeq and is a predicted model, not a curated record.
UGGACACUGUGGGGGCUAAAACUGAAGUAGAAAGACCCUGCCUGGACUGGGCGUUUGUGAAUGGGGCAUUGACAGGCAGUAGAUCCUAUAAGUCAGUUACGUACUAUGUGAACCACGACAUUUCCUGAAAUAUGUAGUAUUACCUCUUGACAGCAAGCUUGACCAUUAUCAUAUCCCCGAUUGUGUUGUACAAGCUCAGUAAUGCCCGUUAUCCUUCACUUUGUCCUGACUCGCUCACCCACAUGUAGUAAAUUUGCUUUCGGCCCUUGCAAACGCAUUUUAAUAUGACUCAAGUAUCAAUAUAUCUUGUUCAGCUCCAACCUUAACCUAUUUUUUUGCCUUGACGAACAAGCCAGGGUGAACAAAACAUUCUCAUUCUCAACUUCAGAGCAUCCAAUUAUAAUUUCACUCCAUGUUUGCGCAAGUGCCCGUUUGUCAGCAGCUGAGAGGACUAUCAAGUACUAAUUGACUCCUGAUUGAAGGCCUUCAAACACCUGCACUCCUAUAGCUCUUAUUCCGACGGCAAACAAAAUUAGCGUAAGCUGUUUAAUUAUCCAUUCAUCUACCCAUUUUCUACUCCGCUUAUACUCAUUAGGGUGAGUAUGUUAUUGAUACCGUUGGGCAAAGGUCCUUCAGUAAAAGGCCAGGGUGUGAUUGUCAGUGUGAGAAACCGUCUCUGGGACUGUGCAUCAUCGCAUUAGGAGCCUGCACACUGCCAAUUUUGGUGAAUCCAAACAUAAAUAGUCACCUGGAUAUAAUUUGACAUCUGCAAUGCAAUAAACUUACCUCUUGAGUUUUAGCCAUCCAUUUUCUGGACCGCUUGUCAUCCGCCGGGUGUAUUAUAAGAACAAAAUGGGGGAAAACGUGUGCUGGUUGUCACUGGUGCUCGGGAGAGGACUUGAAUUCAACGAUUCCCUGAGGUAUGUUCACGUACUUUUAAUACGAUACGGCUCGCAAGCAGGCAACAAGACGUUAUGUAGCCUAGCAAGCUGUGCUAGCACUAACGGUUGUACGUAAACAUGCCAGCGUUCUGUCGAAUCAUGCUCUAAAGUUUUGGUGUGUGUGAUUUAAUUGAAUUGAAUUACAAUGAAGUAAUUCAUUUACAGUAAGCUAGCACCCAUUAUUUCUGUCAUGUUGUAAUGUUGGUUUGACCUGACUGAUUAGAAUACAUGACCUAAAUAGAGAAUACUUUUGAAGAUACUCAGUAUAGUCUAUGAACAAGUCAUUUAAAUAGACACAUUGCUCCAUCUUGUGAUUGGCUCCAAAAAUCUUGAUCGCAAAAAGCCUAACUUCUAUAGCACUUGUCUUCAUUUGGACCAUUGUUGAACUCGAGCCUUUCCCAGGUUACUUUGAAAGAGAGUACCCCCUGGACUGGUCACCAGUUAAUUGCAAGGCACAUAUUGACAACCACCCAUUCAUACUCAAAUUUACAUUUAGAGUCACAUUUACAUUUAGAGUCUGCAAUGAACCUAGCAUGUAUGUUUAUGGUAUGUGGGAGGAAGUACCGAGAAAAUCCAUGCAAGAACGGGGAGAACAUGCAAACUCCACACAGGAGGGUCCGAGCUGUGAUGGCAAAACAGUAAAUUUUCUCAUACUUUACUUUUUAUUCCGAAUGGCUGGCAAACAUUCAGAUUUUCUCACUGUUUGUUUAUAAUCUGUAAUUUCAAGUCAAAUCUGAUGUGAUUAUGACUUUAUUUGAUUAAAAGACUAUCUAGCUCUCCACUAUGACCCCUUGGGAAAUUAUUAUUAACUGUAGAACCAGAACUGACCCCCUCCCACUGUUCUCCUGCAUGCCUGUAUGUGCGUACACAAGGGCGAUAAACACAUUGAUGCGGGCGGUGUCGGCUGGCGGCCAACAGCAGCACUUGCCAGGAAGCCGCAGACAAACAGCGCGGCUCGUAUGCAAACACAAAGACAGGCACAGGCCCAUAUGGGGGGUCUUAAUGGAAGCGAAUGCACAAUUAAAAGGGCUCAUUACAUCUUCACCUCAUAGUUCAGGCAUUUAGGCUCAUGAAUGCAAAGACAAAUUCUGUCACGCAAUAUUGAAAGACAAAAAAGUAUUGUGCCAAAAAGUGAGUGCUGGGAUCUAAAAAGCACCCUGGCUAAAUCGUAGAUUUUUAAGUGAUCGUUUUUACAACAUACAGCCAAGUCGGAAUUUAGAGUUGCGCACCUUUUGUGUAGUAAGAUGUUGUGCAGCAACAUGCCGGGCAGCCAAAUUAAAGACAAGAAGAAGAUGCGCAGGUCCCUCUACUAAGAUCCAGUAAUACUUCUUUUUACAGUAAACUUCAACUGAGAGUGAUAAACAACUUGAAGCAAGCACGAUUUGCCUCUUAUUUGGAGAACUGUGUAGAGCGAGAAAUUCUUCUUUCCGUUUCCUCAAAGUCCCACUUCUUGACUGAGAGAGUGAGAACAGUAAAAGCGGCACAAAACAGCCAAGGGAACAACGAAAACACACACAGAGUUCAUCUUUUGAUGCCGGCUGAAAUGAGGUCUACUGGGGCACUCUGAAGACAUUUCAACUUCAAGGUUCUAACAUCCUCUGGCAGAUUUGCAGUGACAGGAUUGUUGUGUGGGCAUGACAGGUAGCACGUCUCUUUCGCAAUCAGGCUACAGGUACGUUUGACAGGCAGGCAAUGAAAGGCACCCCCUACCUCAUCUAACCCCCUCAGUGCAGCUGGGAUUGACUAUGAGCGCUGGAUCUAAUCUUCUAGGCACGUAUUUCUUCACAACAAGACCUGACUGUGUCCAAGAUCAUCUGAUUCGAUGUCAUGGGAUUAAUUGACCUUUGGCUAACACAGACUGACCAAUCACAGCACAAGACCGAAAGGAAGUCUGACAUGUUUUGUUUUUUCUUGUUUUUGCAAAAUCCCAAACUAACCUUGAUAAAGCUAUAGCACUUGUCCAAAUAAUUUGAAUUGGUCAAUUUAUUAUAAUUAUUACUAUUAUCAAUAUUAUUAUUAUUAUAAUUAUAUAUUUAUGUAAUUUCUAUUAAACUAGGCGACUAUAAACAUUUUUGGGGGUAUAUCAAUUGCUCGUUUUUUUGCGGGGGUUUACUGUAAUACUAUACAGUUGUUAGUUUGUAAUCAAAAAUGCUAUCGUUGUGCUACUAAUGUAAGGCAUAGUUAGUAGUUACUGUCCUUACAUGCUCCCGGUAGCAAUGUUGGCCUGUUAAUUAAUUUUUUUUUUUUCAGUGGUAAUUUAAAGCCUGUGAGCUGCGAUUAACGGUCCCUCACACACCCUUUUUUUUAUGGCGUAUCUUUGAUCAUCAAAAUUCGCCCAUGUUGUAAGCAAAUGAGCUUCCCACUUUAGCAUUACCCCUCUGUCAGAUUCUUCUUACGACUGGGAGGCUUAUUUUGGCGAGGUCCCUAGUAGGAGCUUGUCAGAGAUCGAGCCCUGAAAUUCACCCAAAAUGGACUUUCCAGUUCACGUUUGGGCACUGACCCUUGAGACAUUUUCAUCUCUCUUUGUUACGAUAGACAUGCCCACCAAAUUUCGUGUUGACUGAUGAACUAAUUUCAGGAGCUUCUUUUUUCUAACUUUCCAUGGGGCGCUACUCUGUUUGGGGGGGGGAGACAUGCUGUUAACAUGUGUUUGAGACAUGCUUUUAUCCUUUCACCAGGAUAAAAGCAUGUGCAAAGUUUGGUGAGAGCUGUUUGUCUUAAUCCCUAAAAAGAGCAUUAAACAGCUGCAGCUCAUUCAGAAUGCUGCAGCUCGGUUUCUGACCAGAACAAAGAGGUCAGAGCAUAUUGCUCCAAUUCUAAAGUCUUUACGCUGGAUUCCAGUCAGCUUUAGAAUAGAUUUUACAGUUCUGCUACUGGUCUAUAAAUCACUAAACGAUUUAGGUCCUGAAUACAUGAAUGAAAUGCUAAUGGCAUAUCAACUCAGUAGUGCUCUGAGAUCGACAAACUCAGGUAAAAUAGUGGAGCACGGAGUCCAAAGCAAACAUGGUGAAGCAGCAUUUAGCUAUUAUGCUGCACACAAAUGCAAUAAGUUGCCAACAGAAGUGAGAUCGGCCCCAAGGGUGUUUUUAAGUCCAGGUUAAAAACGCUUUUUAGAGCAUUUCCACUUUUAAAUGCUAUUUCUUGCACUGUAUGCUGUUUUAAUUGUAUUUUUUCCAUUUGUUUUAAAUGUUAAUAAGCUGUUUUUUUUCUUUGUUUUUAAAUGCUUUUAAUCAUGUAAAGCACACUGAGUUAACUUGUGUAUGAAAUGCGCUAUAUAAAUAAAUGUGCUUUGCUUAAUCUUUAUUUGUUUCAGUUUGAUAUGGUGGAUGUAACAUUCAAAGGGCAUUUUGCACAGCCUGCUGUCCGCUUCUGUUGGAAAUGUCGCCGUUUAUUAACUUUGACUGCUUUUGACUAACUAUUUGCGCUUUUAGAAAAUGAAACAAUUGGUGGAGAUUGGCUUUCCGAAGAACUUUUUGUCCACUGUCUAAUUUCUGGCCCGCUGCGAAAGAACGGAAUGAGAGGAACGAGACAUGGGAAUACCAUGUGGGACUGCACAUCUGUCCUGAAGACAUAAACAGGUCCGGCCUUGUCAAGAAGACAAUGAACAAAAGUGGAUGAUUGAGAGCGACUGGAGUUUUCAACAACAACACGAUCCACUAACUUUCCAAACAAGAUUGUAGCCAUUUAUCAGACAAGGAACCUGAAGCGGGGUACUUCACACAUACUGAUUUUUAACAUCUUAACCAAUUUUUACAAUGUGAUGUCAUUGUAAAAAUCGUGCAAAGAAAACAAAUCAAGUGUGUUCGUUGUAGUGUUCGGUGUGCUCGAUUAAAAAAUCAGGACAUGCCAAACGAUACAGUCAUACACAGCUGGCUUUUCUUCUCCACCGCUCAAUUGGCUGGAUCUUGUUGAUCACUUGGCCCCGAUGCAAGCAGACAAUGCAUAAAGUGAAAAUAAAUUCUUCACUCACAAAAUAUUUAUUGGGUUAUUCUUCCCGACUUAAUCUUUCUAGAUAACUAACGAAUAAAUAUGAGCUCUUGCCAAACACGUUUAAUACUUGGCUGAGGUAAUAUAAAACAUCUGCACAACUUUUAUGGGAUGCAAGUUUUAAAAGUCAAAGUUAAUCGUCAAGCUGUGUAGAGAUUAUCACACAAAAAUCCACUCGCAGGGCAACAAUCAACAUUUAUCAAGUGUCAGCCGCAUCUUGCGAAUUCCCUGAAAGAUGAUGAUGUGCAUGUUUAUCCCGUCUUCUUACCUUGAUGGAAAUUGUGAGCUUUUACUAGUGGAGAUUUUUUUCCCCUUGAGCUCUGGAUCGUAUCAGCCACCUACAUUUAUUGUUGUAUUGAAUCGUGCACAUGGGGUUUCAUUAUAGAUAAGGUGCUUCUUCGUGUGCUGGAGGGAUU